AGAGUUUGAUCAUGGCUCAGGAUGAACGCCGGCUGUGUGCUAAUACAUGCAAGUCGAACGCGUUGGCCCAAUUGAUUGACGGUGCUUGCACCUGAUUGAUUUUGUUGCCAACGAGUGGCGGACGGGUGAGUAACACGUAGGUAACCUGCCCAGAAGCGGGGGACAACAUUUGGAAACAGAUGCUAAUACCGCAUAACAGCGUUGUUCGCAUGAACAACGCUUAAAAGAUGGCUUCUCGCUAUCACUUCUGGAUGGACCUGCGGUGCAUUAGCUUGUUGGUGGGGUAACGGCCUACCAAGGCGAUGAUGCAUAGCCGAGUUGAGAGACUGAUCGGCCACAAUGGGACUGAGACACGGCCCAUACUCCUACGGGAGGCAGCAGUAGGGAAUCUUCCACAAUGGGCGCAAGCCUGAUGGAGCAACACCGCGUGAGUGAAGAAGGGUUUCGGCUCGUAAAGCUCUGUUGUUAAAGAAGAACACGUAUGAGAGUAACUGUUCAUACGUUGACGGUAUUUAACCAGAAAGUCACGGCUAACUACGUGCCAGCAGCCGCGGUAAUACGUAGGUGGCAAGCGUUAUCCGGAUUUAUUGGGCGUAAAGAGAGUGCAGGCGGUUUUCUAAGUCUGAUGUGAAAGCCUUCGGCUUAACCGGAGAAGUGCAUCGGAAACUGGAUAACUUGAGUGCAGAAGAGGGUAGUGGAACUCCAUGUGU
This 710-nucleotide ribosomal RNA is filed under the name uncultured Lactobacillus sp. RNAcentral describes it as "bacterial SSU rRNA". It matches the Rfam family "Bacterial small subunit ribosomal RNA", at positions 8 to 676 of the family's 1533-position model. The record is from RNAcentral. Lineage: Bacteria; Bacillati; Bacillota; Bacilli; Lactobacillales; Lactobacillaceae.